This is a long non-coding RNA of Nothoprocta perdicaria, 423 nucleotides long. RefSeq lists it as uncharacterized. Lineage: Eukaryota; Metazoa; Chordata; Aves; Tinamiformes; Tinamidae. The record is from RefSeq and is a predicted model, not a curated record. The transcript has 4 exons.
CAAUUGGAAAAUAAUACCUGGAUUGCUUCUUCCCAAGCAUGUGAGCUGCAGCGGAGUGUAACUAUGGGGAGCUAACCUCUGGUGCUUGUGAAAUUGCCAUUUGGAAGCAGUAGUUUCUCCUGAAAGUUUUGUUGAAGAGUGGAGAGAAGACUACUAAAGAUCAAGAACGGCAAAGGCUCUUAGUUAAAAACACAACUCUCAAAACAAGACAACUACCAGGAUCCAUCCAUUACCAAAGAUUCUUCGAAGUGUGAGGUUGAAUAGCCAAAUAGGACACUGAAUAGAACUGUUGUAAUACACAGCAAAAGAAGAAACAGCAUUUUUGUAUGUAGCUUCGUUACGGAGAAUUCUUCCUUGCAAAUCUCUGUGAAACACAGGUGAUGCUGUGUGAUAUGCAGCUAGUGAUGAGAUUAUUUACUAUCC